Meleagris gallopavo (turkey) is the source of this 3243-nucleotide long non-coding RNA. RefSeq lists it as uncharacterized. The record is from RefSeq and is a predicted model, not a curated record. NCBI's taxonomy places the organism in Eukaryota, Metazoa, Chordata, Aves, Galliformes, Phasianidae.
UCACCACUCUCUCUGUAAAGAACUUCUCCCUGACAUCCAACCUAAAUCUUCCCUCCCUGAACUUAAAACCAUUUUUCGGAGACCUCCAAAAGCACCUGGGCACCGUGCUCUGGGUGUCCCUGCUGGAGCAGGGGCUGUGCCAGAUGGACCUGGAGGCCCUGCCUGCCUCAGAACCACUGUGAUUCUGUGAAAUCUCUGCUGGCACCAGAAGGCAGUUUCAUGGUUUCUGUGGGCACAGAUUUUAUUGCCCACGCCCACUUGUGAGCACGCCGUCUCUCGGACAGAGGCCGCCAGGUAGCCUUAUAGUGACAGCAUUUUCCAGUGCCAGGGAAAACCUCCACCCUCACAAGCUCAGAUCCUGAUCAGUCUCAAGAUAGAGCCUGCCAAGCAGUUGCCUCCCUUUGUUUCCAGCAUCAAGACUUUGUGAGGUAUAGUGAGCCCACACGGCAUUACACGAUGCGUGGCUGCCUAUAUAAGGGUGGGGAGGCCAUGAAUACCUCCCUGCACAACAGUCAUAAACACGGAAAGGGUGUGAACAGGGAAGGGCAAAGACUGCAACCAUGAGAUCAUGCUUUUACUUUGGAAUCCCGGUGACCUUUAGAUGAUGUUGCUUAACACAUGCAACCACCGAUAUUUUGCGUUCCUAAACCGCCCACCAACACGGCUCAGAAAUUUCACUUUGUUUCAGAGUAAAUUGCCGGAAAACAUACAGGUGGUUUGCUUUUUUCCCAUGGAUUUUUUAGUGAGGAUUCAUCUGAUAACUUUGCUCUGGUUAUUACAAUUAUCGUAAGCAGUACUGACUUGUCUCCUUGUUACCUUGUGCCCAGUUAAGUAUGAUUUCCCAAUUUAGAGAUGAAGAAGCCUCACAGUCACUAGUUAGCAGCACAGGGAGCAUAAUCUGUAUCUUCUGACUCAGAGUUCUGUGCUUUGAACAGCAGACCAUACUUCCUUCUUCAACAAAUUCAUGACAGCAUCUAAAGGAACUUUAGAACUUAAAAACAGCUUUCCUCUGAAAUGUUUAAGGUAAUGCAGCAUAAACAAGUUAGCUGUAUGUAAGCACAACCAAGGUCACUGAUACAUUUAAUUUUGGUGUAGACAGAUGAUUAGAUGUCCCCAGUUUUCCUCUCUUUCCUAAACAACUAUUAUGUAUAUAUAGAACAUGGCAGUUUGGCAAGUGUUUCUAAAAGGCAGAUUUGAUUUCAGUUGGUGUUUCUGCAUGCUUCAUAUGUUUUGUCUAGGAUUUUUGGGCGUAAAAGUUUUCACUACUAUUAUAUAUUUGCUUUCUGUUAAAAAAAUCUGUAUACAGAUCUUUCACUAAGGCAAGUUUUUAUUCUGUAGACUUUCAUCAUGACCCUUUAUCCAUAGUGUAAGGUUGCCUUGUAGCAAAAGCACUAACUGGCAGGCAGAUGCUCUACGAAAGUGAAAAAUCAGCAAAAAGAAGUGAUAAGGCAACUCAUUGUUCAAUUCAUUAAAUCUGAUGGUUGUCCAGCAUAACACUUCAUUUAAUCAUUCAUAUUCAAUGCCAUUUUGGCACUCCUGACAUAAACUUCUGGGGACAGAAAGUAAUACCAAACCUUUUAUCACCACUACUUUUUGACAUGAGUUUCAGUAGUCAUGGCCUCAGUUUCCAGAACUGGGGAAUGCAGAAAACAAAUUGUAAGUCAGACUGGACUAAAUAACACGUCUAGUCCUACUACCCAUUUAAAAGAAAAUAUAAAAUUCUCCUAGCUAUUCUGAUACUAAAGCCAUGAAACGUUUGCAAGACAUGGUGAUGUACUGGUAAGAGAUUGCUGUUUUCUUUUGUUAAUAUUGCUUGGGAAACUGGUUCUUCCCCACCCCCAUCUGGAGGACCACCAAGGAGGCAAGAACAGAGCUAUUUAGGACCACACAGGAAGGGGGAAGAAAGGUCCAGAUGAGGAGUGAUCCCCUUUAAAUACUGUUUUCUUUGUGUCUGGACUCAAGUCUAAACACCCAUGGCUCUGUGAAGGACCAGAGCAAGUGCUGCUCAGUGACAUCUCUCUGGUUGCUCCAACCAGCCAGGCCAUGGCUGCCACAUAGCAAUGUCACUGCGAUGACGCGUUGGUGUCAUGGUGAUGUUUGAACAUUGCCCAACAAAACACCCCAACAGUUCGGUCGGAUUUCGCUUACCAACUGGCAGGGCAAAGACUGCCUUACCACAGAAAUGCCUCUGCGUGAGAACUCCAGUCAGAGAGAGACAAGGAAAAUUAAAAUUUAGCCACCUGAACCAGAAACAUCUUCUGUUUCAGUGCCAGAAAAGCCAUUUGAGUCCUCAGGCUCCUCUUCUCCUUCCUUCCUAAUAGGAUGAAAAGGAACAAUAUGGGAUGCUGCUGCAGCAUGGAUAAAGGAAGAAAAAGAUUCACUAAUUUUUCAGAUGAAGAACAAACCACAUGUUUUCCUCACAUUUCUUUUGAGGAGAGCAAAGCCAGCAUCUCCUCAGCCCUCAGCUUUCCACAGAAACUCUGCAACUGGUUGAAAGUGACCAAUUUAAGAUGAUUUGGCAGUGUCAUAGUGGAAACUGUGUUGUCAUCGAUGAAGAAAUAUUUAAGCUGGGAAGGAAAGGACCUGUGAGAGUUUUUCGGACUACAAGCAUGAAAAGCUUCAUUCACCAACUUAAUUGUAUGAAUUCACCAAAACACACUGUGACAGCAAAAGAUCUCCUUCAGUUGCCAAAUUUCUUGCAAAGGAAGAAACAUUUGCUGCUUACAGGAAGAUGAUCCACAACUGCCUGAACACUGCCAGCAAGGGGCUGCCCUGAGGAGAGGAGAGGUGGCUGCCCCUGCCCUGCAGGACCUGAACGAGAGCCACCUGAGGAGCAGACCAGGUGCCCAGCUGCGGGGAGCAGCUGCUGGGUGAGACAAGAGCCUGCUGGCAGCACCAAAGGAAGAAGGCGCAGAGACAGCAGCACCCAUGGGCCCCCACCACUCAAGUGCCCUAAGAAAGCCACCACCCAAACCAGUGCUGCUCCAGCCCUGCCAGACCUACUGCAGCAGCACAGAGGGAAACGUGCCAGCCUCUGGCUCCCUCUCUGCUGCCACUGAGCAGACAGAUAAUUCUGGCAAUAUGUUUGAGUAAUACACCUUCUCCACUCUCAGGUCAUUCCUUUAUUUAUCUAUCUAUCUCUCUAACUGUUCUGGAAAUAAAAUGUUUAAAGAAUAAACUUUUCAGUUGUCGUGUUCUUUUAGUCGUUCUUUCAUUUAUUUAAUGGUGAAAUCUCCAAUUAAA